Molecule: long non-coding RNA, 310 nt
Organism: Sinocyclocheilus grahami
Lineage: Eukaryota; Metazoa; Chordata; Actinopteri; Cypriniformes; Cyprinidae
Exons: 4
Source: RefSeq, a predicted model, not a curated record
GGCUCCAGGGGUGUGUGGUGGACGGUGUGGGGGCUUCAUGAAACAUCGGGCAGAAUGAGACAGAUAUUGACAGACGCCUUGUCGAUAUGCAUUCCAUUUAUGGAGGCCUUUGAGUCAGGUUAUUACGGAAGCUACUAAGAAGUUACCCACUGCGUCAUUUUCUGCAUAUUACAAAGGUGGAUUUGAGCAGAAGAUGACCAGACGGGAAGCCAGCUUUAUUCUUGGGAUCAGUGCAGUUCCGACCAGCACUAAGGCAAAGGUACUGGAAGGCCACAGAAGGAUCAUGGUACUAAAUCAUCCAGAUAAAGGU